This 195-nucleotide ribosomal RNA is filed under the name uncultured Pectobacterium sp. Its description in RNAcentral is "partial 16S ribosomal RNA". It matches the Rfam family "Bacterial small subunit ribosomal RNA", at positions 338 to 525 of the family's 1533-position model. Lineage: Bacteria; Pseudomonadati; Pseudomonadota; Gammaproteobacteria; Enterobacterales; Pectobacteriaceae. The record is from RNAcentral.
CCUACGGGAGGCAGCAGUGGGGAAUAUUGCACAAUGGGCGCAAGCCUGAUGCAGCCAUGCCGCGUGUGUGAAGAAGGCCUUCGGGUUGUAAAGCACUUUCAGCGGGGAGGAAGGCGGUAAGGUUAAUAACCUUAUCGAUUGACGUUACCCGCAGAAGAAGCACCGGCUAACUCCGUGCCAGCAGCCGCGGUAAUA